This 445-nucleotide ribosomal RNA is filed under the name uncultured bacterium. RNAcentral describes it as "partial 16S ribosomal RNA". It matches the Rfam family "Bacterial small subunit ribosomal RNA", at positions 354 to 796 of the family's 1533-position model. The record is from RNAcentral.
GUGAGGAAUAUUGGACAAUGGGCGCAAGCCUGAUCCAGCCAUGCCGCGUGCAGGAAGACGCAUCUAUGGUGUGUAAACUGCUUUUGUACGGGAAGAAACACUCCCUCGUGAGGGAGCUUGACGGUACCGUAAGAAUAAGGAUCGGCUAACUCCGUGCCAGCAGCCGCGGUAAUACGGAGGAUCCAAGCGUUAUCCGGAAUCAUUGGGUUUAAAGGGUCCGUAGGCGGUUUAAUAAGUCAGUGGUGAAAGCCCAUCGCUCAACGAUGGAACGGCCAUUGAUACUGUUAGACUUGAAUUACAAGGAAGUAACUAGAAUAUGUAGUGUAGCGGUGAAAUGCUUAGAUAUUACAUGGAAUACCAAUUGCGAAGGCAGGUUACUACUUGUGGAUUGACGCUGAUGGACGAAAGCGUGGGGAGCGAACAGGAUUAGAUACCCGUGUAGUCC